UGGGGCGUCGGCAAGCGGUAAGCCACUGGUUUUUGGCACCAGCAUACGUAGGUUCGAAUCCUACCGCCCCAG
RNAcentral lists this transfer RNA (72 nucleotides) under bacterium. Its description in RNAcentral is "tRNA-Gln". It matches the Rfam family "tRNA". From Rfam's summary of the family: Transfer RNA (tRNA) molecules are approximately 80 nucleotides in length. RNAcentral also lists the same sequence under 1 other name. The record is from RNAcentral.